Podarcis lilfordi (Lilford's wall lizard) is the source of this 113-nucleotide non-coding RNA. NCBI's taxonomy places the organism in Eukaryota, Metazoa, Chordata, Lepidosauria, Squamata, Lacertidae. The record is from the annotation of a GenBank genome assembly.
ACACACACACACACACACACAUAUAAUAAUAGUAACAUAGUAAAUUAAUAUAUAAUAAUAAAUGACUAUAAUAAAUUAAUUAUAUAUAUAUAUGUGUGUGUGUGUGUGUGUGU